This 518-nucleotide ribosomal RNA is filed under the name uncultured Acidobacteriota bacterium. RNAcentral's name for it is "bacterial SSU rRNA". It matches the Rfam family "Bacterial small subunit ribosomal RNA", at positions 37 to 587 of the family's 1533-position model. Lineage: Bacteria; Pseudomonadati; Acidobacteriota. The record is from RNAcentral.
UGGCGGCGUGCCUAACACAUGCAAGUCGAACGAGAAAGUGGAGCAAUCCAUGAGUAAAGUGGCGACCGGGUGAGUAACACGUGACUAACCUACCUCCGAGUGGGGAAUAACUCCGGGAAACCGGGGCUAAUACCGCAUAACAUCSCAAGAUCAAAGCAGCAAUGCGCUUGGAGAGGGGGUCGCGGCUGAUUAGCUAGUUGGCGGGGUAACGGCCCACCAAGGCGAAGAUCGGUAUCCGGCCUGAGAGGGCGCACGGACACACUGGAACUGAAACACGGUCCAGACUCCUACGGGAGGCAGCAGUGGGGAAUUUUGCGCAAUGGGGGAAACCCUGACGCAGCAACGCCGCGUGGAGGAUGAAGCCCUUUGGGGCGUAAACUCCUUUCGACUCGGACGAUAAUGACGGUACGAGUGGAAGAAGCACCGGCUAACUCUGUGCCAGCAGCCGCGGUAAUACAGAGGGUGCGAGCGUUGUUCGGAAUUAUUGGGCGUAAAGGGCGCGUAGGCGGUGCGGUAAG